This is a long non-coding RNA of Saccostrea echinata, 246 nucleotides long. RefSeq lists it as uncharacterized. The record is from RefSeq and is a predicted model, not a curated record. The transcript is spliced from 3 exons. Lineage: Eukaryota; Metazoa; Mollusca; Bivalvia; Ostreida; Ostreidae.
AGCUACAGAAGAAGGACGUUUACGCAAUGACAGGGAAACAUCAGGACGUUAUCCUUGUUUAGCAUCCCAUGGGGCGAAUAUUACCGCAGCUACAGAAGAAGGACAUUUACGCAAUGACAGGGAAACAUCAGGACUUUAUCCUUGUUUAGCAUCUCAUGGGGCGAAUAUUACCGUGACAACUGAAGAAGGACCUUUACGCAAUGGCAAGAAAACAUCAGGACUUUAUUCUCGUUUAGCAUCCCAUAU